This 301-nucleotide ribosomal RNA is filed under the name uncultured bacterium. RNAcentral describes it as "partial 16S ribosomal RNA". It matches the Rfam family "Bacterial small subunit ribosomal RNA", at positions 509 to 809 of the family's 1533-position model. The record is from RNAcentral.
CAGUCGCCACGGUAAUACGGAAGGUCCAGGCGUUAUCCGGGUUUAUUGGGUUUAAAGGGAGUGUAGGCGGUCUGUUAAGCGUGUUGUGAAAUUUAGGUGCUCAACAUCUAACUUGCAGCGCGAACUGGCGGACUUGAGUGCACGCAACGUAUGCGGAAUUCAUGGUGUAGCGGUGAAAUGCUUAGAUAUCAUGACGAACUCCGAUUGCGAAGGCAGCGUACGGGAGUGUUACUGACGCUUAAGCUCGAAGGUGCGGGUAUCGAACAGGAUUAGAUACCCCAGUAGUCCCUGUCUCUUAUAA